Molecule: ribosomal RNA, 424 nt
Filed under: uncultured bacterium
Lineage: Bacteria
Description: bacterial SSU rRNA
Rfam family: Bacterial small subunit ribosomal RNA
Source: RNAcentral
UGAGGAAUAUUGGUCAAUGGGCGCAAGCCUGAACCAGCCGUCCCGCGUGCAGGAAGACGGCGCUAUGCGUUGUAAACUGCUUUUCCAGGGAGAGAAGCUUGCGCACGUGUUGCGCAAUUGACGGUACCCUGGGAAUAAGCAUCGGCUAACUCCGUGCCAGCAGCCGCGGUAAUACGGAGGAUGCGAGCGUUAUCCGGAUUCAUUGGGUUUAAAGGGUGCGUAGGCGGACUAUUAAGUCAGUGGUGAAAUCCUGCAGCUUAACUGCAGAACUGCCAUUGAUACUGAUAGCCUUGAGUUUGGUUAAGGUAGGCGGAAUGUGUAAUGUAGCGGUGAAAUGCUUAGAUAUUACACAGAACACCAAUUGCGUAGGCAGCUUACUGAGCCGACACUGACGCUGAGACACGAAAGCGUGGGGAUCGAACAG